CCUACGGGGGGCAGCAGUGGGGAAUAUUGCACAAUGGGGGAAACCCUGAUGCAGCGACGCCGCGUGAGUGAAGAAGUAUCUCAGUAUGGAAAGCUCCUUCAGCAGGGAAGAAAAUGACGGUACUUGUUUAAGAAGCCGCGGCUAACUACGAGACAGCAGCCGCGGCAACACGUAGGGGGCAAGCGUUAUCCGGAUUUACUGGGGGUAAAGGGGGCGUAGACGGCAGCACAAGUCUGGAGUGAAAUGCCGGGGCUUAACCCCGGAACUGCUUUGGAAACUGUGCAGCUAGAGUGCAGGAGAGGUAAGUGGAAUUCCUAGUGUAGCGGUGAAAUGCGUAGAUAUUGGGAGGAACCCCAGUGGCGAAGGCGGCUUACUGGACUGUAACUGACGUUGAGGCUCGAAAGCGUGGGGAGCGAACAGGAUUAGAUACCCUAGUAGUC
Molecule: ribosomal RNA, 440 nt
Filed under: uncultured bacterium
Lineage: Bacteria
Description: partial 16S ribosomal RNA
Rfam family: Bacterial small subunit ribosomal RNA
Source: RNAcentral